GUAAGGAAUAUUGGUCAAUGGAGGCAACUCUGAACCAGCCAUGCCGCGUGCAGGAAGACGGCCCUCUGGGUUGUAAACUGCUUUUAUCCGGGAAUAAACCUGCCUUCGUGAAGGUAGCUGAAUGUACCGGAAGAAUAAGGAUCGGCUAACUCCGUGCCAGCAGCCGCGGUAAUACGGAGGAUCCAAGCGUUAUCCGGAUUUAUUGGGUUUAAAGGGUGCGUAGGCGGCCUGUUAAGUCAGGGGUGAAAGACGGUGGCUCAACCAUCGCAGUGCCGUUGAUACUGAUGGGCUUGAAUGGACUAGAGGUAGGCGGAAUGUGACAAGUAGCGGUGAAAUGCAUAGAUAUGUCACAGAACACCGAUUGCGAAGGCAGCUUACUAUGGUCCUAUUGACGCUGAGGCACGAAAGCGUGGGGAUCGAACAGGAUUAGAUACCCGGGUAGUCC
RNAcentral lists this ribosomal RNA (445 nucleotides) under uncultured bacterium. Its description in RNAcentral is "partial 16S ribosomal RNA". It matches the Rfam family "Bacterial small subunit ribosomal RNA", at positions 354 to 796 of the family's 1533-position model. The record is from RNAcentral.